Molecule: unclassified non-coding RNA, 343 nt
Filed under: soil metagenome
Description: partial contains 5.8S ribosomal RNA, internal transcribed spacer 2, and large subunit ribosomal RNA
Rfam family: 5.8S ribosomal RNA (bases 1-120)
Source: RNAcentral
GAUGAAGAACGUAGCGAAAUGCGAUAAGUAAUGUGAAUUGCAGAAUUCAGUGAAUCAUCGAGUUUUUGAACGCAUAUUGCGCCCUCUGGUAUUCCGGGGGGCAUGCCUGUUCGAGCGUCAUUAAAUAACCCUCAAGCAUAGCUUGGUGUUGGGCCUUUUUACGUCCUUGACUGGGAUGGGCCUAAAAAUUAGUGGCGAUGGCUUUUUUACUUUCAAGCGUAGUAAAUCUCGUCUUGCUAAAGAGGAAAAAGAUUUUUUUUCUGCCAAAAAUUUUAACAUUUAAAGUUGACCUCGGAUCAGGUAGGAUUACCCGCUGAACUUAAGCAUAUCAAUAAGCGGAGGA